CUCUGCGGCAUGCUCUCGCUGCCGUCAUGGCACACCUCUCCAGACCUCGACACGCUUGCCGC
This 62-nucleotide ribosomal RNA is filed under the name Goniomonas pacifica. RNAcentral's name for it is "partial 5.8S ribosomal RNA". Lineage: Eukaryota; Cryptophyceae; Goniomonadida; Goniomonadaceae. The record is from RNAcentral.